AUCAAGCUGAUUCUCAAAUAAACAUUCUGUGCAUAUCAGCUCCUCUACGGAAUUCAUUUCGCAAGCAACACGACCUUUGAUUUGAACUACAAGAUCAGCAUCUAUGCAGCCAAUUUCUUUUAACACAUCUAUCCGACCCUGAAAAUCUGGCAUUUGCUGAAGUGCCUCAUCUGACAUUUCAAACCUCAAAGCAUUCACUUCCGCUCGGUGCAGCUCUAAUUCUUUAGCCAAUUUCAUGUGCUCAUCCAAUUUAAUACAACCAUGACACUUAUUCUGUGCCAUUUUCUGCAAGAGAUUAUUCCAUUUGUAGUAUGCUUCCACAAGAUUCAUGUCCUUCAACUUCAGAUCUUUAACCGGAUCUAAGGCUGGAGGAUACUUAUUUCCUUCAGAUUUCAAACUGAGCAGCUGUUGUAUUGCGUUAGAGUAGGCCCCAGCACUAACAUCUUCAAGAAGCCGAACUUGGUCGAUCUUAAUCUUUUUCACACAUAUAUACAAGAAAUCCUUGUUAUCAACUCCUCGAACCUCAUAAUUCAUGCCGGCAGCAUUACCGCGGUGAGGCAAUUUGAUGUUGACAGCGCCAGAUCCCUUCCGGGAGGUGACUGACGAACAAUACUCAUCAUCAUAACCCCGUCUUGAUUUAGGCAAUAGUAUCUGCAUUUCAGAAUUUUUUUGAUCUUUCCUGUUGCUUCUAUCUGACGAAGUUUCCAGAGUUGAAGGCAAUUCUGGAGUCAGAACUAGAACUAUAUAUUGUCUGUUGUUAGAGGAAGGUGUCUUCACCACAACGCCUAGUAAGUGAUCUUGAGCUGAUUGUGAUUUUACAACCACUGCUCUCCCAAGACUAAGGUACUGCUGAGAAGCUGGCGACUGCAUUACUGCUUCUGCUAUUUGGUGGCUAUAUUUCUCUGCCUCCAAAUACAUGUCAUAGUAUUCCUCAAUUGCUG
Molecule: unclassified non-coding RNA, 941 nt
Filed under: Hevea brasiliensis (rubber tree)
Lineage: Eukaryota; Viridiplantae; Streptophyta; Magnoliopsida; Malpighiales; Euphorbiaceae
Source: RNAcentral